AUCUCAGCCAUGGACUCCUCCGACGGGCACUGGAUCAUCGCCAAGGCCGUUUUCAACAGCAGUGUGAAGGGCAUGGUAGUUCUGUCCCAACAGUGUUUUCCUGAUGGCAGCUUCAGUGACACGAUCCUGCUGGUGGACCUCAGAGCGUCUAACACUGUUAAUGUCAAAAACGCUUCCUGGUACAUAACCGAAAGUCCGUUCAGUGGACUGGUGGCUGAAUGUCCAGGAAAUGGAAGAACUUAUAACCCUUUCAACAUGACAGCUCAGAGCUCCAACUGUUCCCCACUCACCUAUCUGGCGUGCGAGGUUGGAGAUCUGUCCAGCAAACUCGGCUCCGUCAGUUUAACACAAAGGCAGCUCUUUACAGAUGCGCAUCUUCAGCUGGCUGGAGACUACACAGUCGUUUACAGAAUGCUAGUUCUGAGGGCAGGAGACGAGACCAUCGAUUGUGCGGACAUCGUCCCUGUGUCACCGUCAGCACAGCAAAUCUUCCCGAGCAUAAAAUCCUUCAGCAGUUAUGAUUUCCGUAAAAGGGUGGCAGACGUUCUGGAGGUCCAAGUGUCCCGGGUGUCCAUCUUACCCGGUGCCCUCUCACCCAUUGCAGGAGGGAAGUGCCAGCAAGUCACCUUUCUUGUGUCAGGUGACAUGAGUUUGAAGAAGCUAUCUGCUGUGAAGGACAGCAGGAUGAUGGGCAUGUACAGGCAGACUGAAUGGUGUACGAAAAGUGGCGUACCUGGUCUUGGGUCUUCACAUACCGGAACCAUCCACGUCUUCUCCCUGGCCGCCGUUUACCUUCUCCACUCUCUCAUUCUGCACUGGAUGUCAGAGUGAGAUCAGCUGUGCUGAAUUUAUCCCCAGAGCUGCACGGAGGCUGCUUAACUCCAUAAGACUUGGUGUGAAUGAACUGUCUCGAUGGUCAACGUGCUCAAACCACUUUGAAUCAACUGCUGUAAAAUGAUACUAGAUAAAAAUGUUGUUUUACGAACCUUUGUUUUACUAUUACUGUCUGAACAGUACUUAGAACUUGACGGCAAUUCAUUUUCUAUUUACGUUAUAUUGUUCGCUGAUUUGAUACUGCCAAGUGAUUUAUGCCCAUGUGUUCACUGUAUAUCUGGUGAAAAUGACUUACUGUGUAUUUGUAUUUUUAAUGCUCGCAUGAUUGUAGAUAUCGCAUCCACCAGAUCCUAAAUGUCCUAGUAUAUGCUUUGUCGCCCUCAUUUGCGGUUCGAAUGAAUUGAUCGCGUAUUCAAUGAAGUAGAGUCGGAUUGAGCUUGCUCUGUACGUCCUCGGACAUGUUGCGCAGUUUCCAUUUAAGUUCCAUGUUGGUGAGAG
This is a long non-coding RNA of Ictalurus punctatus (channel catfish), 1332 nucleotides long. NCBI's taxonomy places the organism in Eukaryota, Metazoa, Chordata, Actinopteri, Siluriformes, Ictaluridae. The record is from Ensembl.